This is a long non-coding RNA of Dermochelys coriacea (leatherback sea turtle), 107 nucleotides long. RefSeq lists it as uncharacterized. NCBI's taxonomy places the organism in Eukaryota, Metazoa, Chordata, Testudines, Dermochelyidae. The record is from RefSeq and is a predicted model, not a curated record. The transcript is spliced from 3 exons.
GUUUGCCUCAGGAGUGGGCGGGUGAGAUUAUGUUGCCUGUGUUGUGCAGGAGGUCAGACUAGAUGAUCAUAAUGAUCCCUUCUGACCUUAAUAUCUAUGAGUCUAUG